This 45-nucleotide non-coding RNA is filed under the name Schistosoma mattheei. Lineage: Eukaryota; Metazoa; Platyhelminthes; Trematoda; Strigeidida; Schistosomatidae. The record is from RNAcentral.
AUCCAGCUGACGAGUCUCAAAUGGGACGAAAAGACCGUCCUGGAU